GACGAACGCUGGCGGCGUGCUUAACACAUGCAAGUCGAACGCUGAAGACCUGGCUUUUGUUGGGUUGGAUGAGUGGCGAACGGGUGAGUAACACGUGAGUAACCUGCCCUCUUCUUUGGGAUAACGCCCGGAAACGGGUGCUAAUACUGGAUAUUCACUGGCCAUCGCAUGGGGGCUGGUGGAAAGGGUUGUUCUGGUGGGGGAUGGGCUCGCGGCCUAUCAGCUUGUUGGUGGGGUGAUGGCCUAUCAAGGCUUUGACGGGUAGCCGGCCUGAGAGGGGGACCGGUCACAUUGGGACUGAGAGACGGCCCAGAAUCGUACGAGAGGCAGCAGUGGGGAAUAUUGCACAAUGGGCGAAAGCCUGAUGCAGCGACGCCGCGUGAGGGAUGGAGGCCUUCGGGGUGUAAACCUCUUUCGGUCAUGGUCAAGCCGCAACUGUGGGUUGUAGUGAGGGUAGUGGGUAAAGAAGCGCCGGCUAACUACGUG
Molecule: ribosomal RNA, 486 nt
Filed under: uncultured bacterium
Lineage: Bacteria
Description: partial 16S ribosomal RNA
Rfam family: Bacterial small subunit ribosomal RNA
Source: RNAcentral